This 606-nucleotide ribosomal RNA is filed under the name Triticum aestivum (bread wheat). RNAcentral's name for it is "partial small subunit ribosomal RNA". The record is from RNAcentral. Lineage: Eukaryota; Viridiplantae; Streptophyta; Magnoliopsida; Poales; Poaceae.
AUGGUGUCGUGGAGUGAUGAGACCAGUGAGGAUUCAGUCAUGAACAUCUCCUCCUCCUGCGAUGGCAUCAUCAAGCUUCCAUCUACGAUGCACGACCCGAAUUUCAAUGGCACUGACGCAGAUGUGAAUGUUUUGUGCGAACACGGCGAGCCGGCCGAGCGCUUAGUUGCAUUUGAAGGGAUGCACACUGGCAGCAGGUUUCUAGGAUGUACUAAGAAGGAAGGCAUAAACUGUGGAGUAGUUCAAUGGAUUGAUUUUGAAUGGCCAGACUCAAUGGAGAAGGCAUUGGCCAAGUUAUGGGAUAUGUAUGAGGAGAGUAAGCCAGGUAGAACCAAUGACAAUCUGGAGAGUUCCUUUGUAAUUCACAACCUGACUGAAGAGAAGAAGAAACUACAGGAGAAUUAUGAUAGUUUGUAUGCUGAUGUCAAUGCUCUCUUGGAUGCCCAGCAACAGAGGGGUCUGGAGUUAAGCAAUCAAAAGGAGCAGAAGCAAUGUCUUGAUGUGAAGAUUGCAGAGCUAGAAACUAUAGUGGGCAACUUGAAGGCAGAGCUGGCAAAGAAAGAGGAGGAGAAGAAGAAAGUACGGGAGGACUAUGACAGUUUGUAG